AAUCAACGCUGGCGGCGUGCCUCAGACAUGCAAGUCGAACGAUUAAACUUCCCUUCGGGGAAGAUAUAAAGUGGCGCACGGGUGAGUAACACGUAGGUAAUGUACCUUUGGGUGGGGAAUAACUUAGGGAAACUUAAGCUAAUACCGCAUAAUGCAGCGGCUCCUUCGGGAGACAGUUGUUAAAGAUUUAUCGCCUAAAGAGCAGCCUGCGGCAGAUUAGCUAGUUGGUAAGGUAACGGCUUACCAAGGCUACGAUCUGUAUCCGACCUGAGAGGGUGGUCGGACACACUGACACUGAAUAACGGGCCAGACUCCUACGGGAGGCAGCAGUCGGGAAUUUUGGGCAAUGGGCGAAAGCCUGACCCAGCAACGCCGCGUGAAGGAUGAAGUCUUUCGGGAUGUAAACUUCGUAAGAAUAGGAAGAAUAAAUGACGGUACUAUUUGUAAGGUCCGGCUAACUACGUG
RNAcentral lists this ribosomal RNA (465 nucleotides) under uncultured bacterium. RNAcentral describes it as "partial 16S ribosomal RNA". It matches the Rfam family "Bacterial small subunit ribosomal RNA", at positions 32 to 507 of the family's 1533-position model. The record is from RNAcentral.